UUGGGCAAGUCAGGAAUUGGUGAAACAAGAGAGGUUAGCUAAAGCUGGAUCGGAGACAAGAGAAGGUCCCUCAAAUACAGACUUUUCAGUAGUAUAUCAUCUCAGGAUUUCCUGUUGAGUAGAAGGUGGAAGAGGGACACAAGCCAUAACUCCUACAGAGAUCAAAACUGGCCUGAGAUGACAGGAGCUCCCUGACUAGGUGGACUUUGGCUGCUUUCCCCUCAAGACAAGCAUGUUCUCCUUCAGCCUCCCAGUGUUUUUAAUUUGGAGACCGCAGAGGGUGAAGCAAGUAGUGAGGCCCCUCCAUCAGUCGGAAGAGGGCCAAAUGUCAUCUGGCCCUUCCCCUCUGUGAAGAACCAAGUCCUCCUCUACAGUCAAUACCAUCAGGCUGCAGCAGAGGACAAGUCAAGUCUGUUUUCUGGAGAUUCAUUCACAGAAGGUGCCUCUGCUUAUUCCUGGGAAUUUCCCCCUCCCACUGCAGAUCACUUUCCCCUUGGUGCUGUAAAAAGUGAGAAAUCUACAGCAUUGACUCUUACACUGCAGUAAUCUCUUUUGGACACUAGAAGCAUGAUGACUUAUGUUAAUAAGUUUCUCUUGGUCAGUCUGAGUCCGUUAGAACUGUUCAGUUGUUGAAGGCAGGUGCCUGUUUGUGUAUGUUGUUCUACGGCUCUCUUGGUAUCUGAUGUUUUACUUUCUUAGUAAACAUUUAUUAGUUUUUUGAACUCAA
This is a long non-coding RNA of Hemicordylus capensis (graceful crag lizard), 727 nucleotides long. RefSeq lists it as uncharacterized. The transcript has 3 exons. The record is from RefSeq and is a predicted model, not a curated record. Lineage: Eukaryota; Metazoa; Chordata; Lepidosauria; Squamata; Cordylidae.